AUUGAACGCUGGCGGCAUGCUUUACACAUGCAAGUCGAACGGCAGCGCGGGCUUCGGCCUGGUGGCGCGUGGCGAACGGGUGAGUAAUACAUCGGAACGUGCCCAGCAGUGGGGGAUAGCUCGGCGACAGCCGGAUUAAUACCGCAUACGACCUGAGGGUGAAAGCGGGGGAUCUUUGGACCUCGCGCUAUUGGAGGGGCCGAUGGCAGAUUAGCUAGUUGGUGGGGUAAAGGCCUACCAAGGCGACGAUCUGUAGCUGGUCUGAGAGGACGACCAGCCACACUGGAACUGAGACACGGCCCAGACUCCUACGGGAGGCAGCAGUGGGGAAUUUUGGACAAUGGGCGAAAGCCUGAUCCAGCAAUGCCGCGUGUGUGAUGAAGGCCUUCGGGUUGUAAAGCACUUUUGGCGGGAACGAAAAGGACUGUGCCAAUACCACGGUUCGAUGACGGUACCCGCAGAAUAAGCACCGGCUAACUACGUG
This 484-nucleotide ribosomal RNA is filed under the name uncultured bacterium. RNAcentral describes it as "partial 16S ribosomal RNA". It matches the Rfam family "Bacterial small subunit ribosomal RNA", at positions 29 to 507 of the family's 1533-position model. The record is from RNAcentral.